Molecule: ribosomal RNA, 451 nt
Filed under: bacterium enrichment culture clone ALO1_GLFRUDD03GSO1G
Lineage: Bacteria
Description: bacterial SSU rRNA
Rfam family: Bacterial small subunit ribosomal RNA
Source: RNAcentral
GAGUUUGAUCGUGGCUCAGAUUGAACGCUGGCGGCAGGCCUAACACAUGCAAGUCGAGCGGAUGACGGGAGCUUGCUCCUUGAUUCAGCGGCGGACGGGUGAGUAAUGCCUAGGAAUCUGCCUGGUAGUGGGGGACAACGUUUCGAAAGGAACGCUAAUACCGCAUACGCCCUACGGGAGAAAGCAGGGGACCUUCGGGCCUUGCGCUAUCAGAUGAGCCUAGGUCGGAUUAGCUAGUUGGUGGGGUAAUGGCUCACCAAGGCGACGAUCCGUAACUGGUCUGAGAGGAUGAUCAGUCACACUGGAACUGAGACACGGUCCAGACUCCUACGGGAGGCAGCAGUGGGGAAUUUUGGACAAUGGGGCAACCCUGAUCCAGCCAUGCCGCGUGAGUGAAGAAGGCCUCGGUUGUAAGACGUCUUCGUCGUAGGAGGAAAGUUAGACACCGGAC